AGAGUUAUCCAUAUACUAGUGAAUUACCCGCGCGAUGCUGCAGAUAUAAAAUUAUUUUUAUAAUAAAUUUUAUUUUUUUAAUAUUUUUGUAUAGUUCUAUAAGUCUAAUUAUUAAUUAAAUAAAAAUUAUAUAAAAAUAAUUUAAUAGUUAAAUCUAUUUAAAUAAAAGUCAUUAAAAUUGGUAUAUGCGCAAAGUAAAUUUAUACAAUAAUUUAUUUUAUAAAAAAUUAUAU
Molecule: long non-coding RNA, 233 nt
Filed under: Ananas comosus (pineapple)
Lineage: Eukaryota; Viridiplantae; Streptophyta; Magnoliopsida; Poales; Bromeliaceae
Description: long non-coding RNA (ACOM_LNC001677)
Source: RNAcentral